This 71-nucleotide transfer RNA is filed under the name Loxodonta africana (African savanna elephant). It matches the Rfam family "tRNA". Rfam says of the family: Transfer RNA (tRNA) molecules are approximately 80 nucleotides in length. The record is from Rfam by way of RNAcentral. Lineage: Eukaryota; Metazoa; Chordata; Mammalia; Proboscidea; Elephantidae.
GCAGUGGUGGUUCACUGGUAGAAUUCUUGCCUUCCAUGUGGGAAACUUGGAUUCGAUUCCUGGCCAAUGCA